GCAAUUUCUAAUAAUGACACUGUUCUUCAAAUACAUAUGUCUUAGUCAUUCCAAUUAAAAGGUAGAAAAUAGAUGCUGCAUUUUGUGGUAUUUAUUUGCCAGUACUGAACAUCUAUUCCUAAAAUUAUAGGAACUGUUACUGAGAAAUCAUAUUCCUAGAGGAAUUUUGCAUAUGAUUGCUUAAAAUGAAGGCUACAUGGCUGAUGUUAACAGAUGCUGUAGAAUUUGAGUCAAUGGAUGUUUGCCGAUUCUUAAAAACUUUUAUAAAUACAUCAUCCAGAAUUGAUUCUAGAAGAAAUGUGAGCCAUGUACUAAGAGUUCUGCAUUGACAUCAUUCAAACUGAAAAGAAACUCAUAGUUCAUACUGCUGAGUAAAUAGUUAUUGAUUUAGCAUAGUAUGAACAUUCCAAUCCUUUUUCAUUGAAGUCCUGGAAGCAAAUAAAUAUAUAAAUAUGUAUUUUUGCA
RNAcentral lists this long non-coding RNA (465 nucleotides) under Numida meleagris (helmeted guineafowl). RNAcentral's name for it is "lncRNA (ENSNMEG00000019128.1)". The record is from RNAcentral. Lineage: Eukaryota; Metazoa; Chordata; Aves; Galliformes; Numididae.